GGAAUUUUGGCUCAGAGGUAGAGCACUUGCCUAGCAUGUGUGAGGCACUGGGUUCGAUUCUCAGAACCA
Molecule: transfer RNA, 69 nt
Filed under: Ictidomys tridecemlineatus (thirteen-lined ground squirrel)
Lineage: Eukaryota; Metazoa; Chordata; Mammalia; Rodentia; Sciuridae
Description: Spermophilus tridecemlineatus (thirteen-lined ground squirrel) tRNA
Rfam family: tRNA
About the family: Transfer RNA (tRNA) molecules are approximately 80 nucleotides in length. Their secondary structure includes four short double-helical elements and three loops (D, anti-codon, and T loops). Further hydrogen bonds mediate the characteristic L-shaped molecular structure. tRNAs have two regions of fundamental functional importance: the anti-codon, which is responsible for specific mRNA codon recognition, and the 3' end, to which the tRNAs corresponding amino acid is attached (by aminoacyl-tRNA synthetases). tRNAs cope with the degeneracy of the genetic code in two manners: having more than one tRNA (with a specific anti-codon) for a particular amino acid; and 'wobble' base-pairing, i.e. permitting non-standard base-pairing at the 3rd anti-codon position.
Source: Rfam by way of RNAcentral